This 481-nucleotide ribosomal RNA is filed under the name uncultured bacterium. RNAcentral's name for it is "bacterial SSU rRNA". It matches the Rfam family "Bacterial small subunit ribosomal RNA", at positions 900 to 1382 of the family's 1533-position model. The record is from RNAcentral.
CUCAAAGGAAUUGACGGGGGCCCGCACAAGCGGUGGAGCAUGUGGUUUAAUUCGAUGCAACGCGAAGAACCUUACCAGGCCUUGACAUCCUGCGAACUUUCUAGAGAUAGAUUGGUGCCUUCGGGAGCGCAGUGACAGGUGCUGCAUGGCUGUCGUCAGCUCGUGUCGUGAGAUGUUGGGUUAAGUCCCGUAACGAGCGCAACCCUUGUCCUUAGUUGCCAGCAUUCAGUUGGGCACUCUAAGGAGACUGCCGGUGUCAAACCGGAGGAAGGUGGGGAUGACGUCAAGUCCUCAUGGCCCUUAUGUCCAGGGCUACACACGUGCUACAAUGGGCAGGACAAACCGUUGCGAACCCGCGAGGGGGAGCUAAUCGGAGAAACCUGUUCUCAGUUCGGAUUGCAGGCUGCAACUCGCCUGCAUGAAGCUGGAAUCGCUAGUAAUGGUAGAUCAGCAUGCUACCGUGAAUACGUUCCCGGGCCUU